This 998-nucleotide long non-coding RNA is filed under the name Manihot esculenta (cassava). RNAcentral describes it as "long non-coding RNA (MESC_LNC007262)". Lineage: Eukaryota; Viridiplantae; Streptophyta; Magnoliopsida; Malpighiales; Euphorbiaceae. The record is from RNAcentral.
CCCGCGAGUUUUGUAUGUUCGGCUCUGUUUGGGGGAUUCGGCCGCCGAAGGUGCCGCCGAAGGUUAGAGACUUUCGUCUCUGGAGUGCCUUUUGGCCCCCGAAACUUGCCCCCGAAAGGGUUCGGCCGCCGAAGCUUGAGAUUCGGCCGCCGAAGGUGCUUGAGUUUCGUCUCUGGAGAGGACUUUCGGCCGCCGAACCUGCCGCCGAAAGUGUUCUGUCCAGCUUCCUUUUGCAUGCUUUGCAUGGAUGUUCUUGGGGAAUUUACUGGGGUUAUUCAUAAGCUUGUUUGGUCCCUCAUUUGAGUCCAUCUGUAUAGGUACAGAUCAGAGGAACCAGAGAGAGCAGCAGUGAGUACUGCUCCAGAGUUUCAGCGCCUGCAGAGUCAGUCAGUCCAGAUAGCCGGAGGUGAGUGGAACUAAACUUAAUGUUUUUAAUUGCCUAGUGGACUGUUUUAGCAUAUCUCAUGCAUCAUAAUGCCCUAGGUUGAGUGCAUUAGUAAUCACGAAUAUGUUGCAUUGCAUAGUUAUUUGUUGAUGUGGGUAAAUGUUGAAUGAUCCCAUAGUCACAGACAGGAAGUCCAGGAGCCUUUGACUACGCCCUGGCAGGUAUAGCAAAGACCAGGAGCCUUUGACUACGCCCUGGCAAUGGUAAGUACAGCGGUGUUAUAGACACAUAUACAUAUAUGACAGGAAGACCAGGUGCUCGAUUCUACGCCCUGGCACAGAGCUACUGGGAUUAUGUGGUGACAGGUUUACUCUUGAUGUGGCUUGUCUGUGUUAUGACGCAUUUCAUGAGAUCAUGUUUUACUAAGAUGUUUUACUGUUCUACUCACUGGGCUAUAGAGCUCAUCCCACUCCCUUAACCCCAGUUUUGCAGGUUCAGUGUACAGUGUACAGGGACAGUCCAGCAGGGUACAGAAAGAGUAAAGAGAUUUGUAAUAGCUUAGAGUGGACAUGUAAUAUUAAAGAGCUGUAAUAGUUGUGGCUAAAAGUUANNN